This 490-nucleotide ribosomal RNA is filed under the name uncultured bacterium. Its description in RNAcentral is "partial 16S ribosomal RNA". It matches the Rfam family "Bacterial small subunit ribosomal RNA", at positions 30 to 507 of the family's 1533-position model. The record is from RNAcentral.
AUUGAACGCUGGCGGCAGGCCUAACACAUGCAAGUCGAACGGUAACAGGAAACAGCUUGCUGUUUCGCUGACGAGUGGCGGACGGGUGAGUAAUGUCUGGGAAACUGCCUGAUGGAGGGGGAUAACUACUGGAAACGGUAGCUAAUACCGCAUAACGUCGCAAGACCAAAGAGGGGGACCCUCGGGCCUCUGGCCAUCGGAUGUGCCCAGAUGGGAUUAGCUUGUUGGUGGGGUAACGGCUCACCAAGGCGACGAGCCCUAGCUGGUCUGAGAGGAUGACCAGCCACACUGGAACUGAGACACGGUCCAGACUCCUACGGGAGGCAGCAGUGGGGAAUAUUGCACAAUGGGCGCAAGCCUGAUGCAGCCAUGCCGCGUGUAUGAAGAAGGCCUUCGGGUUGUAAAGUACUUUCAGCGGGGAGGAAGGGAGUAAAGUUAAUACCUUUGCUCAUUGACGUUACCCGCAGAAGAAGCACCGGCUAACUCCGUG